GUAGUCUCGCACAGAUGCAUAUCAAUAAGCGGAGGAAAAGAAACUAACAAGGAUUCCCCUAGUAACGGCGAGUGGAGCGGGAAGAGCUCAAAUUUGAAAUCUUAAAGGGUUUCCCUUUACGAAUUGUAGUUUAAAGAAGUGUUUUCUGUUGAGGUUUUGGUAAAAGUUCUUUGGAAUAGGACAUCAUAGAGGGUGAGAAUCCCGUAUUUGACCUUUACUUUCAACUUUGUGAUACACUUUCAAAGAGUCGGAUUGUUUGGGAAUGCAGUCCAAAAUGGGUGGUAAAUUUCAUCUAAAGCUAAAUAUUGGCGAGAGACCGAUAGCGAACAAGUACCGUGAGGGAAAGAUGAAAAGAACUUUGAAAAGAGAGUUAAACAGUACGUGAAAUUGUCAAAAGGGAAGCGUUUGACACCAGUGUUGUUUUUCUGAAAAUCAAUUAAAGAACUGUUUAUGCUAAGCUGUUUAGACUUUAUCAGCUAUCUGUUUAGUUUUGAGCUUUUCUUUAAUGCACUUUUCAGUUAACAAGUCAACAUCAAUUUCUUUUGCUGUAAAAAAGCUUGAGGAAGGUGGCUUGAGAUUCGUCUUAAGUGUUUAUAGCCUCUUGCCUAUGCAGUCGGAGAGAUUGAGGUCUGCAGCGUAGAUCCUUCGGGGCUAAAUGCAUUUGUGCUAAGUUAUAGCAUUUUAUAGACAACUUGUUGACUAUGAUUUGUCUUGUAGCUUACUCGCUUAUGUUAUUUUACCUACGCUUAGGAUGUUGAAGACUCUACAGAGAUA
This 774-nucleotide ribosomal RNA is filed under the name uncultured Neocallimastigales. RNAcentral's name for it is "partial large subunit ribosomal RNA". It matches the Rfam family "Eukaryotic large subunit ribosomal RNA", at positions 24 to 633 of the family's 3401-position model. The record is from RNAcentral. Lineage: Eukaryota; Fungi; Neocallimastigomycota; Neocallimastigomycetes; Neocallimastigales.